This is a long non-coding RNA of Harpia harpyja (harpy eagle), 480 nucleotides long. RefSeq lists it as uncharacterized. Lineage: Eukaryota; Metazoa; Chordata; Aves; Accipitriformes; Accipitridae. The record is from RefSeq and is a predicted model, not a curated record. The transcript is spliced from 3 exons.
AUCUGACCACACUCUUCCUAAAGGAUCCUCUUCUGAACCAUCUACUAGAGUAUACAUCUCCUGACAAAUCAAUGGCAGAAUCGAGAGGACAGAUGUUGGGAGGCAAAACGCAAAGCAAAAUAUAGGAACUUACAGAGACCAAGAAACCUGCCCUUCCUUCUUUCAGUGUAAUUUUGCAUUUCUUGGCCAGGAGUGCUUGCUGCAAGCUCUGGGGUAGGGCCUCCUGUGAAGUUAUAGCAUGGUGGGGCUGCUGCACAAGAGCAACACAAGUUGGUCUGGGGAUCAUCAGGAUUGGGCCUUAGCACCAGCAACCUCCAGCAGACUGCAAUGGCUCUGCCUUUAAUACACUUCCACCCCUGUGUGUUAUACAGCCGUAAUACUGAACACACAAGGCAGACAGCUGCCCUGAGGCAUUCUCCGUAAAAACUUUCAUAUCACAACGGAACUGAACGUACCAUUAUAACACCACGUCUCCUCUUC